CUGCCUACUACGCCGCCAGCCCUGCGAUCUAGCAGCCAGCCUGGCAGAUUACUUUUCUACAGCAUACCACCGGCAGCUCCGCGGGCAGCUGCACACUGGCUCAUACAUCACCGCCAUUGCACGCACGCUAGGGAUCGUGCCCGAGCAUGAUCCGCUGCUGUCCAAUCCGGUCCCAUCAUCCAGCUUGGGCCGCGCGUCAGUAUCUAGCAUGCAGAUCACCCGUACCUUUGAUGUCGGUCUAAGGUUCAGGGGUGCUGACGGGCUGAUUUGGCAGCCGAAGGUGUUGCCGGAGGUCAUCCCGGUUGUUAUUGAGGUGAGGCCUGGAGUGUUAGCCCCUCCUGAUGUUCAGCAGGCCGCUCGGCAGGCUCAGCUACAGGCUCUGGGCAUCGAUCAGCCUCAGGCUCAGGCUCAGCCUAUAUUCGAGGAUCCGGCGCAGGAGGAGCAGGUCGAGGAGAUCCCGCGUACCACCAGUUCAGCCAGCUCCUGAGCCGCCACAGUACCCGCAGCACGUUUACGCUGACCUGCCUCCGGCAGCGCGUGAGGUGGCUCGGGACUUCGACCGGCGCCUCAGACGUCAGGGCGCACGCAUUGACUGGAUCGUCCAGACGCUCGUUGAUCUACGAGAGUUCGC
RNAcentral lists this long non-coding RNA (631 nucleotides) under Helianthus annuus (common sunflower). RNAcentral's name for it is "hypothetical non coding rna". Lineage: Eukaryota; Viridiplantae; Streptophyta; Magnoliopsida; Asterales; Asteraceae. The record is from RNAcentral.